RNAcentral lists this ribosomal RNA (538 nucleotides) under uncultured bacterium. Its description in RNAcentral is "bacterial SSU rRNA". It matches the Rfam family "Bacterial small subunit ribosomal RNA", at positions 355 to 894 of the family's 1533-position model. The record is from RNAcentral.
UGAGGAAUAUUGGUCAAUGGACGGAAGUCUGAACCAGCCAAGUAGCGUGCAGGAUGACGGCCCUAUGGGUUGUAAACUGCUUUUGUAUGGGGAUAAAGUUAGGGACGUGUCCCUAUUUGCAGGUACCAUACGAAUAAGGACCGGCUAAUUCCGUGCCAGCAGCCGCGGUAAUACGGAAGGUUCGGGCGUUAUCCGGAUUUAUUGGGUUUAAAGGGAGCGUAGGCCGGAGAUUAAGUGUGUUGUGAAAUGUAGACGCUCAACGUCUGACUUGCAGCGCAUACUGGUUUCCUUGAGUACGCACAACGUUGGCGGAAUUCGUCGUGUAGCGGUGAAAUGCUUAGAUAUGACGAAGAACUCCGAUUGCGAAGGCAGCUGACGGGAGCGCAACUGACGCUGAAGCUCGAAGGUGCGGGUAUCGAACAGGAUUAGAUACCCUGGUAGUCCGCACAGUAAACGAUGGAUGCCCGCUGUUGGUACCUAGUAUCAGCGGCUAAGCGAAAGCAUUAAGCAUCCCACCUGGGGAGUACGCCGGCAACGG